AAACAUAUAAUUCUUAGAACAAUUAUUCGAGCAAUAUUAAACAAGAAUAAUCAUGGAACUUCAUACAUAAACAUUACCUAACAUGAUUCGGCAUAAGAAAUAUUGCUGUACUUAAUCCAAACAAAACAGACAAUUAAUUAAGUACAAGUUUUCUUAAUACCCAAGACAACUCCAAACUUGUGAGGGAGUUUGGAGGUCCUAAAGCAUAUUCGGACACCACUAUGUCAUGAUGUUUUCUCGCUCACCUGCGUGUGUCGUGCAGAUUGUUUCCUCGAUUCCAGGUAAGCUUAAUUCGUCGGGUCUCUUCUCGAACUCUUCAUCACGCCAAAAUCAAAAUAUUAAUUCGUCGGGUCUCUUCUCGAACUCUUCAUCACACCAAAAUCAAAAUAACGCUAAUUAGGUCACUUCUGAUCUAAAAUGAACUUAAUCGCUUUCAUCCAUUCGAUUCAAUGUUAGGUAUUUCUUGAAUCAUCAUUUAUCAUUGAAAGUCUUACAACACAAUAACACUUUCUAAAGUAAAGUUUUAAUAAAACUUAUAGCGGAAUUAUGUCAUAAUCUAUGGAUAUACACCAGGUUAGUGUAAGAAUGAGGUUGCAACUAAGAGGGGUGGGGGGUGAAUUAGUUGACCUAAAAAUUAUGACCAUUUUUUCUGCAAAAUCAAGAGUUAACGUGCAACAGAAAAUAUAUGCAGAAAAAUAAUCAAGAUAAAAUGAAAGAGAUAAGGGAGAAGAAAAUACACAAUGAUUUUUAUAUUGGUUCACCUUCUAGUCCACUGAAGGCUACGUCUAGUACUCUUGUGGCACAAGAGAUUUCUUCACUAAGAAUUAUGAGUUGUAAUUACAGUAUCUCACCCCGAGAUUUCUAUGUACCUUACACACUCCCUAAUCCUUAUUCACUCUUGGAAAACACCUUUCCAAGUGAUUCUAAUCCCCUUUCUUUUCACACCCCGUGAAAGAAAGUCUUCUGCAACAAUAUUGAAGAAUGUACAAUAAUGGCAAAUUGCCUUUACAAGUAUGAAAGUAGUAUAACUUGCAAUCCAAUCAACUCUUUAUGUAUACCAAGUAAUAAUGCUCUUUGCAAAAAGUGUAGAGAAAUAACUUCAUAAUAAGUUUAAGAGCUUUUGGAAAUUGUAUAAGAGUUGUGCAUUGUUGUGUGUUUGUGUUGUGAGAGUUAGAGCCUUUAUAUUUUCUUCCAAACACCCAUGGUGCCUUUUUAAAAGUGUAGGAGUUGUUUGAAGUGAAGAGAUUUCGUUUGGAGUGCGAACAUUUUAUUUUGAAAUCUGAAAUCUGAUGCAAUAGCUCUCAGUAAUCGAUUACUAACAGUGGGUAAUCGAUUAUCCAAAUUCUUUGUACACUGUUCAUUUAAAAUUAAAUUAGAGUAAUCGAUUACAGAAAUCUGGGUAAUCGGUUACUCAACUUUUCAAAACUAGUAAUCUAUUACUCAAAGACAGUAAUGGAUUACUCUGAACAGUUUUAAGUUGGAUAACUCUUUUCUCCCACACGUAAUCUGUUACUUAGAUGAAGUAACCCGUUACACACAAUUUUUGAAUUUUUUUUAAGUAUUUUAAAGUGUUUCAACUUUCUUUAAAAAUAGUUUGAGCAUUACUACUUUGUAUAUUUAAGAGUUUUAGGAUAGAAGUACCUAUAGAGACUUAAUGUAAUUAUCUUGAAGCUUUAAUCUUCUUUGUCUUAAUAAGUAUUCUUCCCUUUCUUAUUUUUAGUGAUGUUGGUGUCUUCAUCAAAACCGUGCCAAGGUCAGGAGCAAAGAUCUUCUUCACAGUUAGUUCCCAGGAAAGAGAGGUGGGUCGUAAAGACACACUUAAAUACCAAGCCUUUCUUUAGACAUAACUUUUCUAGACAUGUAUUUCCACUUCAUUACAUUUUUCUGGUAAUGAUAACUAUUCAUAAAACUUAUCUUUUGCAAGUAAAACAUUUUUAUUAAGAUUAACCUUUUUAAGUAAGAUUAUUAAGCUAGACUUACUAUUUUAAAGUAAACCAACUUAAACAAAAUUAAUACUUUUAAAUCACGACUUUUUAAGUCAAUCUUACCACUUUAAAGUAAGCUAACUUAACCAAGAUCAACACUUUUAAAUCAUUUUUCUAUCUAAGACUUCAUAACACUUUAGGUUUAUAAAGUCAAGACUUUGUAGGUCAAUCUCCUCAUUUAAAGUAUGCUACUAAAAAAAGACAACUAAUUUCAUGAUCAUCUCAACACCUUCAAAUUUUAGGAUAACCUCAAGGGUUAAUAGGUGUUGAUUUCAUAGUCAUGAACUAUAAAUCAUAAGUUAACAUUUUUACUACUUUACUAUCCAAAAUUUCAUAACACUUUCAGUUUAUGAAGUUAAGACUUUAAUAAAUCAUCUUUUAUCUCAAAUCAUUACUUUAACUUGGAAAUCAAAGAAUAACUUAUGCAAAACGACCUUUUACACAUAAUACCUUUUUUUUAAAAGAUUUUUUUCAACAAAAACUCAUACACAUUUUGAACUUUCAAGAACAGACGUAAACUUUUCUUAAACACAAUAAAGGUUUCUUUGAUGUUCAAAUCACCACCUUUAAACACAUUCAUAUACUAACAAUAAUUUCCAAUAUUUCUAAAGCAAAUAAACUCAUCCAACCUUGUCCAAAGAUAUAGUUUUUCCAUCUAAGAACAAGGAAGAAAUUUUAAGUUUUACAUAAGUCAAAAACUACACAAAGGUUCAUAUGAUUUCAUUAUCAUCUCCUUUAGUCAUGACUUACAAAAUAUUUAAAGAAAACAAACAUAAACUCAACUACAUGAAUAACAUACUAAGAGAUCAUGAUUUUCUCAUGGUGUAUGUGGAUAAAAUGGAGAAGAGAAAAAGAGAAAAAAUACCUUAAUUUUCUUUAGGAGAAUUAGUGUAAAAAUGAGAGGAUGGGGUGAGGUAUUUAUAGGAGAGCAUCAACCUCUGUCAAAUCUAAAAAUUAAUGAGAGGCAAUCUAGCUUUAGGCUAGCUUAGGUGAUGUGUCUAAUGGUGGUGGAGUGAGGAGAUUUGGUGAGUGAUUUAGGGGAUUAUGGAAGCUUUGACUUUGCUUGUUUGACAAGCAAUUGACCCAUGAUGUGAUUAAUACUCCGACUUGAUUGAUGUGACGUGAUUUUUCAAUUGAAGUCGUGCCCGUAUAUUACCGGGUAACUUCAUCCGGAAGUAUACGAUCUACCGAUUUAGGUCUUUUGCCCGAAACGUCAAAACUUGAAUUUUGACUAGAAAUAGUAUUUCAAAGCCAACGGAUAAAUAGGAAUUCGAUUCCGAGUUACAGAACUCAAACACUAGGCGAAAACUUGAUAAAACGACCCAAAAUCGUCUCAGAAACUACUAUUCUCAAAACAUCUUGAAAAAAUAGGGCAAGAAAUAAUAUUAUAAUACAAGACUAAAACUAAACUGAAGUUUAGCCUAAAACAUUGCUGAUUAAUAUCUAUAAUUAAUUCAUUAACAACUAAUUUCUUAAUUAAACGUGAUCGGAAAAACACGGUGUUACAUCUUUUCUGACUUUCCUUUGAUAGGAUUAAUGUAUAUUGUAAGACGAUCCAUCUUCAUGUGACCAGGUUUUCCAUAUUCAAAAUAAUUGAAGUUUUGUUUUGAAGUGGAAGCCUAAUUAUUUUUGUUGAAUUUUAUUACUUGCCCACCCUUUGCGCCUUUAUUUUUCUUAAGGAUGAUAUUACAAGAGGAGUCAAAGUUUUCAAGUCUGAUCUUCUACAUAGUUUUGAUGAAGACAAAGAAUUGAGGAAAUCUUGAAGAUUGAUUCAACUCAACAAAUAACAAGCCAAAGACCCAAGGUCAUAUAGAAUUAGGAAAUGUUUUAAGAUGAUUGCUUAGUUCGAGUCUAGGUUAGUUAAACCAAGGAUGAGAAUCUCACAAAGCUAAAACUAAGUAAAACUUAAAAUAAAAGAAUCCUUCAUCCAUUUAUGAUAGGUAGUAUGCAUUGAUUUUAUUGCAUAAAAGUAUCACCUAUUUUGAAAUCAUACUUUGCAUAUACAUACAUUUCAAAGAAGGUUUUACCUUGCAUCAGAAAAUCACUUUUCACACUAUUAAUCGAUUAAGCAAUAGAUAAUUGAUUAAGUAAUAUUCCAGAGACUAUUGAUCAAGUUUGAUGACCUUAGAGAAUCGAUUAAAUAUUUCAAUAAUCAAUUAAUGGUGUGUUCAAUAGAAUUGAAACUAUUUUCACAUACGUUAAUCGACUAACUGACUAGAUGAUCAAUUAAGGACAGUUAAAAUUAGUUUUAUAUAUAAGGUUGUAUUUUAACCCAUGAGUAAGAAUUAGGCAUUCAAAAUUUUACAUCAUACUCAUGUCAUACAAAAAUUCAAUGCAUUAAUUUUACAUCAUACUCAUGUCAUACUCUUGAGUGAUUUUCAAAGAGAAGAGUGAACAUGGUUCACAAAGUUUUUCAAAGAGUAUUUUUCAUUUUCAUACACAAAAACCUCAUAGUAUUUCACCAAUUUCAAUGAAUCUUUGUGAGAUUCUUGUGUAGGUUUUUUUAGUUGAUCAUUAGAGUGAUUAAUUUGUACUUAGUGAGUUUAUCACAACUAAACAUUCUUAUUAGUCAUGAGAGAGGAGAAUCACCCUAGCUACGAUUUGGAUUGAUUAGUGUUCUUCACAGCUUAUACAAGGAUCUUCAAAAGAAGCAAGAAUCAACUAUGACAGAAUCGUGAGUAGGAGGGUUUUUUUGAAAGAGGUGAGAGAGGGUCAAACUGUAUUGCUUAUCUUAGAGUUCAAGAAAGGAGCACUUGUAGAAGUGUCAAAUUGGAAGCUUGUUUGUAAUUGACAAUUAAAGUUUCAAGUGAAGAAAAAUCUCCCAAACUAGACGGGGGGACUGAAUGUAGUUUGCAAGUGGACCAACAAAUGAACUAGGAUAAAUUUCUCCACCAUUAUCUUCUCCCCCCUUAUCUCGUGUCUUUACAUUUCUUGAAUUCAUUCUAGAUUAGUUUUAUUAAUUCAUUUCUUGCUCAUUAAUUGAUAACUACGUGAAGCAUUCUAUGAACUAAUAUUUUUAUGUACAUAAUUAAUUUCCGGGAUAUGGGCUGUGAAAUAAUUGUUUUCAAGAGUAUCAUGAACUGCCAGGAUAAUCAAUUAAUAUUUUCAUUAAGCGAAUAAGACAUCAACUCCUUUAAUCGAUUAAUAAAUCUAAUAAUCGAUUAUUGUUGGUAUUUUUUAGAAAGUAAAAUUUACUGCUAAAAGUGGUAACUUUGUAGCGCGACACUUAUUCACCCUCCUCUAGGUGUGUUUAUAUGUUGAUUGUACCCAACAAAGGAACUUGCUGAACUUUUUCACCAUCAUGCUCAUCUUCCAUAUCUUCUUUUUAUGUCUCAUCUCUAGAGGAUUCAUAUGUUUCUGCCUUUGUCUUAAGAGAAAUGUUUUUACUCCUCUUUUCAUGCUUCAUUUUGAUUGAGUAGGCUUAAUUCCAACUCAUUUUCCUGCAAUUUUCUAAAAAGUGUAGCCGAAGAAAUUUUUGAUAGACUUUUUUUUUUAGAAAUGGCUGUUACUUUGGGUUGACAUGUUCUUAUUAGUGAUCUUAGAACUUUUUAAGUUUAAGUCACUAUUUCACAGCACUUUGCAAAGUGCAAUCAAGUGGUUUGUAAGGUGAGUAAAUCUCUUUUGGAGAUCAAGUAUCUUUUCUCUUGGUUUCAUGUGUGAUCUCUAGAGUGUCUCACAUCUCCUUUUCAGAUUUGCAAUUUAAUACUCUAUAAAAUUCAAUUAUUUCUAGGGCUGAAGAGAUGAUGUUUUUGGCCUUAAGGUCAUAAUGUACUUUCUUUUUAUCCUCGUCAUUCUAGGUGGAUUUUAGUUUAAUCUCGCUUAUACCAUUUAUUACAAUAAGGUUUCAUAAGGCCCUUCCUCAAUCACAUUACAUAUGUCAAGGUCUUGAGAUUCUAUGAAGAUUUUCAUCCUUAUUUUCUAAAAAUCGUAACAUUCUCCAAAAAAAGCUUGGAGGACGAUUGAUAUUGGAACCUUCUCCCAUAAAGGAUCUAGAAGUCAUCUAAAUUUUUUGAAUCUUUGGGAGUAACUUACCCAAGCUAAGUUAUGGUGUCAAUUAUAAGUAUUAGAUGACAACAAAGGGGGAGGUGAAUUAGUUUUAUGACCAAUUUUUCAGCUAUAAAAUCAGAAUAUGUUGCUGCAAAAAAUGAUGCAUAAAAAAUGCCAAGUUAAAAUAGUAAAAUUAAGAGAGUAAAGAGAACAGAGGAAGUACGCAGAUAUUUUAUAUAGGUUCACCUUCUUAUCCAUCAAAGGCUUUGUCUAGUAUUCUUGUAGCACAAGAGAUUUCUUUACUUUGAUAUUACGAGUAACAAUUAUAAUUUCUAUCCUUAGGACUUCUUGUACAUUACUCACUCACUAGUACCUAGCACUCUUGGACAACAACCUUUCCAAGUUCACUCUUCCCCUUAUCACCACACCCUUGUGAUGAAAAGCUUGACAAUAAAGUUUGAAGGAAAACUUUCUAUGAUAAGAAUUGCCUUACAAGAUAUAAAAUUUCUAUAACUUGCAAUCCUAUUUGCUCUUAAUUCACUUUGUAUAAAAUGCUCAUACAGUUUUUAAGUUAGGAAAACCUUAGAAUCAACACUAAAUGCAACUUUAGAAAAUUUCUGUAAGUUUGGAACAAAAGUUGCAAGAAAAGUGCAAAGAAUUGUAUAUGAAAGUUAUGUGAAUUGUGUGUUAAAGAUGUGUCACAAAAUGGGUGUUCCAAGACCCUUAAAUAGGCUUUUAACCAACCAAUAUACCCUUAAACGAAGGUAGGACGCCAUAGGAAUGAUUCUCAUUCAGUUUAGAUUUGAAAAUAUAGUUUAAAAGCUCUGUAUAAUCGGUUAUUGAAGCACGUAAUCGAUUGCCCAAACAUUAUAUUUCAUUGAGUAAAUGGUUACUGCUUUUGGCAAUCACUUACACUGUGUUAAAUUUAUUGGGUAACCCAAUACUCAGUCAGGUAACCUGUUACGCAGUCCUAAUAACCUGCUACUGAUGUAAACCAAGGGGGAACUUAUGAUUUGUGGAGGACAAUCUUACAAGUAGGAGAACCACUUGGAAUCCACAUUAUUGGAAGGAAAUUAUGAUAGUUUUUAGUUAUUAUUUUAUUGCGUGAAUAAAUGAGAAUAAUUCUCAUGGGCAGUCUUAAGAUUUAUUUUAAUUUUUGUCUAAGUAUUUUAUUUAGUUUCAUUAAAAUCAUGUAAUAUGGGGGUUGAUGAUUUAUUUUAAUUCCUUCUAACAUGGUCCAAUAGUGGCAAGUGGUUAAGUCCUAGGAGGGCACGACUAGACCAUGUGGAAUCAUCAUAAUAAUUAAGCAAGGAGAUAGAAUUGAUAGGCCAAUUUUAAAUUGGCAAGGAGGGAGUCUAAUAAGGCAAGUUUCUAUCAAUCCAAUCAUCCUAGAAAUAAAUGAAGGAUUUGAAAGUAAAUGAAUAACCAUUUCAAAUUUGUUCAAGCUUAUUUCAAGAAAGACUAGUAAUCAAGUCUCAUUUAAGGUAUUCAAGUCAAUGAUCAUUCUAGAAAGGAAAGUAAUCAUGUCUCAUUCAAGGCAUUUAAGUCAAGGAUAAAAGUCCAAUCAUCUCUUUCAAGUCUGAAUUCAAACUUACGACCAAACAUGAAGAUCAAGAGAUUAACUUAACAAUUAUGAACUUUUCUUUUCAAGACCAAAUUUGUCAUAAUCCAUUCAAUCAAGCAAGAGAUAAGGCACAAUCAAUUUGUUAAUUUCAAAUAGUCACAUGACUGAAUGCAUCAAUGGAAUUUCGGCAAACACAUGGACAAAUCAAAUCAGCCAUUAAACUCCAACUAAAAACCAUUUAAUUAUAUGUUUUAAUUAUGAUUUCAAAUUUCAAAUUAAGUAUAGUCAAUUCAGGAUUUCCCUAUUUAUGUAUUCCUUUCAUGAUGAAUGAAUUAAGUUGAAUUUUGUUUGGAUUAAUUCCUUUUUAGUUGAGUUUUGCUCCUAACUUAGAACUUAUCAAGAUUAGUUCUUGUGGCGUUCAUAGGCUUAUCACCAUUGGUGUGGUGACUUAACCUUUUUCAUAUCAAGGAUCAUUCCUUGAGGCGAACCUCCUUUUCUUAUCAAGCUACUUUGCUUGUGGCGCCUCCAUCUUCAUCAUUUACUACUUUCUUUAAUCCAACACAAACACAUAAAAUUUCAUAAACCAAAAAUAAACACCAGUUCGCCCAAAUACUAAUUCUAUACACAUUUCACCUAUAAUCAUACUCAAAACAUGGACAUUAAUAUAAAAGUGUUAUUCCGUGAGUCAAAUUAAGUUUCAGGUAAGAACAAUCGACACAGAAAACAAACCACCCCUAGAGGUUUGCAUCAAGUGGUAUCAGAGCCACUUCUUGCUUGCAGGUCUGAGUCAUGUCACGUGGUAAAUCUUUCUUGGUGAGGAAACUUUUGGAAAAUCAUGUUAUGGAAGAUGAGGCCAACCAAAGGGACAACAUCUUUCAUUCUUGAUGUUUGGUCCAAGGUAGAGUAUGAAAGUGCAAAGUGUCAAGAUAUCACUUAGCUUGCCUAUGUUUUGAUGAAGACAAAGGAAUUAGUGAAAGCUUAAAGAUAACUCAACAAAUCAACAUGUCAAAGAAUCAAGAGCUUCAUGUCUAAACUAGAGUCUUAGAUAUGUGUCUUAGUUAUUGAGUCUAGGUUAGAUAAACCUAUAUGCAAAUCUCACAAGUUCUAAAAACUUUCAUAUCCUUUACGAGAGACAUGCCAUCUAGCUUAUUAUAUGUUCAUGCAUUAAUCAUACAUAUUAUUUGCAUAUUUUAGGCAUAACAUAAUGGUAAAAUAUGUAUAGUUGAUAAGCAUAACAUAUAGGUAGUUUACCAUUCAAUAUCUUAACUGAAAAUAUGGUAGUUAAUCGAUUAGGUAAGGCUUUAAUCGAUUAACGUGAAAACAGUUUUAAUCAGUUUCAACAUAUAACUGAAAAACAGAAUUCAGUUAUUCUAAACAGCGCGUUAAUCGUUUAACAAGGCACUUAAUCGAUUAACUAGGAAUAAAACAACUUUUCUAUAUAAAUUGUGUUUUUACACCAUGCUUCAUACAUUCAUUCGUUCAUUUUUAGAAUUGCUAAGUUGCAUAUUUUCGUGCUCAUUGUAUGUCAUAUAGGCAGAGAGAAUUGCAUGUGAGAAUAGUUAGAGAUAGUAUCAUGCUUAGGGAUUAAAAUGUCAUCCAUUGCAUGUGAUUAAAUAUGUUCAUCAUUCUAUCUUAUCUUGCAUGAUUCUUUCAUUUCUUUUCGAAAUUUCUUAGGUUAGAAAUUACACGUUCUUCAUUAUUUUGAUCUUAUACAUAUUCAUAAUAAUUUGUGAGAUUUGUAUAGGGUGUAUAGUUUGUUCUUAAUUUUAAUAUUUGAUUUAUUUUAUGCUUCACAUUACUCUGUUUUUGUUGUAUUUUUGUAACAAGGAAAGUUGUCUCUCUCAAGAUCGGAAGCAGAGGACUGAAUGCAGUUUUGCAAUGGACCGCAAAAUGAACUAGUAUAUAAACCUUGUUACAGGUUGUUUCUUACCCUUAUCUCUUUAUUGUUUUAAAUUGUUUUUAAUUGCCUAUUGUAGCUAAUAAUUUGAAUAUAAUAACUCUGUCAUAUAAAGAUCAUUUAUGUUCAAAUAUAUUUGUUAUAUCAUUUCUGUAUAAUCUGUGAUUGGUUGUGUGAUCGAGCCAUUCAGCAACUGUAUGUUAAGUGCGAUUUAAUCGAUUAAGGCAAUCCUUUAAUCGAUUAACUAGGUGAUUUUCCAGAAUAGGGCUUUGCUGCGAAUAGCGGUAUUUGGGAACCGCGACACCUAUUCACCCCCCUUUUAGGUGUAUUCUAUCACUGAUACCUAAUAAGUAGUAUCAGAGCUAGUACGUUUUGCUAGCUCAACCGUAUACGCGUGAUCCUUGAGGUAAAAUAACUAGGUUCCACCAACGCCUUUGGCGGUGAUGGUACAUCCAUUAACCGUCCUCCCGUAUUCAGUGGCGAAGAAUAUGCCUACUGGAAAGUCCGCAUGAAAAUAUUUAUAGAGGCCAUCGACUCGGAUAUUUGGGAAUCCAUAGUCAGCAGGCCCUUUGUUCCACAACAUUUAGUGGACGAUGAACCGAAAGAAAAACCGAAAAGUCUAUGGACCGAUGAUGAACGUAAAAAGGUUCAAUAUAACCUACGCGCUAAAAACAUAAUCACAUAAGCGCUAUCCUAUGAUGAGUUCUUUCUGAUUUCGCAGUGCCAAAAUGUCAAAAAAAUGUGGGACACUUUACAAGUGACUCACGAAGGCACUAGCGAAGUCAAGCGUAUCAGGCUCAAUGCCCUGACACAUGAGUAUGAGCUAUUUCGUAUGUUACCGAGUGAAUCUAUUAGUGACAUGCAAAAAUGAUUCACUCGUAUAGUUAACCAUUUAGUUGCUCUAGAUAAAUAUUUUACCAAUAGAGAACUUACUAACAAAGUUUUACACUGUCUUAACAGGAGAUGGCACCCCAAAGUAACAACUAUCAUGGAAUCCAAGGAUCUUGACUCCAUUACUUUGGUGAUAUUGUUUGGAAAGCUUCAAGAGCACAGGAUGGAGCUUGGACACCUGACUAUGCACGAAGAAUCAGAUCGCAAAAAGAAAAGUAUAUCUCUCAAAGCAACAACGUCUCAAUCCAUGGAAGAGAGAAAAGAAGACGAGUCUGAUUCAGAUAUGGAUUAUGAAACUUUGAGCCUUCUCGUACACAAAUUUGGGAAAUUCCUAAAGAAAGGAGGCUUCAAACGUUUCUAGAAGAAAGAAGCGCGCGAGUCAACCAGGAAAGGCAAGGGUAACAAAGAGCGCUUCACUUGCCAUGAAUGUGGUAAGCCAGGACACAUUAGGUUUCAAUGUCCUACUUACCUCAAGAAGGUUGAUUCAGAUAAGAGCACUCCUCGAGACUUCAAGUCAGAGAAAGCCUAUAUAGUAUGGGAUGUACCAGAGGAGGACACGACAUCGAGCACCUCAUAUGCGACACUAUAUUGUUAAAUAAUUUAAAUAUAUAGUGAGGUUAUGGUUCGAGUUGCCUCUAACUUCUUCGAAAAUGAGAAGAAGGUCUACAACCAACACCAUCUCUAAACUAUUAAUUCCAUAUAUAGAUAAAUAAUAAGCUAUUUUAUCACUAAACUUAUAUGUAUAAACAAUUAGAAACUAUUCUACCAAAUAAAGUUUAUGAGAUUUUUAUAGUGAGGUUAUGGUUCGAGUAGUCUCUAACUCCCCUAGAAAAAAGGAGAAGGUCUACGACCAACACCGUUUUUAAGCUAUUAGUCUCAUUAAAUGGAAACAAUUACAUAUUAAUCAAUUCAAUAAAUCAAUACUUUCAAACCUAUCAGUAUUUUCUAAAUCACUAACAAUUAACCAAAAUAGCUAAACAACUUUCGAACUAUAACUACGUAGUCUUGAUUUCCCUAUUACACCCGGGGAUACGUAGGAGCAAGAUAACCUCUUGUCAGAUGCAAAUAUGAAAAUAAAAAUAUUCUGUUUUACUAAUUGAAUUUUAAAUGAAUAAUUGUUAAGGGUAAAAAAAUCUGUUUUGAUUAGCGAGGGUACCGUUUUAAUACAGGCGGACAGGGUGCUAAUACCUUCCCCGAUCCGUAAUCGACUCCCGAAUUCAGAAUCUCUAUUCAAAAACCACUUUUAUCCAAAUUGGGCAUAAACGAGAGUUUCUCUACAUUUUAACCGCAAAAAAAUGUAGUGGCGACUCCAAAUCAAUUGGAAGAGGUAGAAGUCGAGUUUCCCUCUCCCUAAGUCGCAGGGCCGGUCUUCCAACCGAAAAUCGGUUCGCGACAAACCUCACCUUUACCCAUUUUGCACCUCAACUCAUCCCAUCUUUUUGUCAAAUCCACAAGAAACCCCUCCCAAUUCCAAACCCUAAGCUUUAGGUUCCCUCUCUUAUCCUUCUUCUCCUCUCAUUACUCACGGUUUUCAAUCAACAAUGGAAAGAAGACGUUCAAAAGGGAAUUGGUAAAAGGCACAAUUAAGAGGAUAUUAGCAAUGAGUCAUAGUUGUUACAAUCAGCCAAAGGGAAUUGGUAAAAGGCAAACCAAGAAUCCCCUCAACAGUUACAAUAUGAGGCAUUAUGAGAAAAGAGUGGCAAUUAAAUCAAUCAUAUGUGGGAUAAUGGGGCAGCCGUGAGUGACACAGCAAAGGCCAAUUACCAUUCCAUUUCAGUUACAAUCAUCAUUGGCAAAUAGGAAACAGCUCAACAGUUAUUACAUGCUCAUAAUCAGUCUUAAACGGCAGUUUCAAAGAGAACAAACAGAAAGCCAAAAGUUUCUGGUAGCAUUGAAUCAUGAUUGGCAACCUGAGAAUCCAUUACCAUGUAAUUUUCAAACCAUUAUAAAAGGGAGAAGCAGGUUAUAACACACACACACGUACAGAGGGAGAGCAUACUGAUAUGAGAUUACACAUACACAGUGAUAGAAAGAGAGGUGAAUACACAACCAUACAAAAACUAGAGAACAGUCCAUACACAGCUGUUAUAGAGACAUCACAUAAGUCUAAGAAUACCUACACUUGCAACACGCAUAUCAUUAUCAAAGAGUGAUAUAUCACACCCAUAAAUCAACAAUCAGACAACAGACCGCACAAUUAUCAAAAAGAGGACGCAUUCAGAACACACAUCACAACACAGAGAGGGAGGGAAUAUCCAAAAUUUGCAUAUCUUACACAACACAGAUAACAACUGAGCAAAGGCAACAUAUACAUAUUCACAGACCAUCAUAUACAUCAAGGAAGAGGCUCAAAAAAGGGUAGCAGGACCAAAACGAAAAAACAUUCUACAUUACAGGUUCAUCAUUCUCUUUAAUAGGUAUUAUUGAUUUCAUUUUGUGUAUCCCAUCCAUAUAAACCUGUAAUCAUAAGAUAAACUCAGCGCUUUGCUGAAAACUGGCUAACAUAUCAAAUUCAAACAUAAAAUACAUCCUUAUAUUCACUCGGCUUCAACAGGGAUAUAUAUCCAUAAAUAUGAAAGAGAUGAUGUAGCAUGAUAAUAUAGCUCAUUUCCGGAUAAAUGUAUGCCGAAAUUAGUUACACGUAAUCAUCCAAUUUCAUGUCAAAAGGAUUAAAUAGAAAAGGAGUAAGGUUUAUUACCGAGACCCUUUGUAUUUAUGCCGAUUCUGAAUCCCUACCUUACUUCGGUGACCACCGUGAGAACGAGAGAAUCGUAAGAGAAUGAUAAAUGAAGGAGAAGAGAAAAGGGGAUUUAGGGAUUCCAACCCCCUUUACCGUUAACAAACGAAGAAGAACUCGCGAGGAGGAGAGGAUGCAUAACCCGCCACCACCUCUUUUGGAAGCUGAAGCCGUCGCCAUUGGAGAAGGAGAAUCCACCACCAUCGCCGUCGAAGGAGUGAAGAAGAAGGGAGGCUAUGGAUUGAAAUUCCCUUUUUGUUUUUUUCUCCAAUUUAGGGUCAAGAAACCCGUAUGGUGUUAAUCCCCUCGUCCUUCCUUAUUUCAUUUUUUCUCAUACACCUUUGUUUUUUUAGUUAAUUGUUUG
RNAcentral lists this long non-coding RNA (13425 nucleotides) under Lupinus angustifolius (narrow-leaved blue lupine). RNAcentral's name for it is "long non-coding RNA (LANG_LNC002983)". The record is from RNAcentral. Lineage: Eukaryota; Viridiplantae; Streptophyta; Magnoliopsida; Fabales; Fabaceae.